GAAAAGUUCUCGCCCAGGUCUCUUUCAGCUCCCAGCUUCCCCGGGACACCUGUGUACUGUAUUCUCGCUUUGCACAAAAAAAACACAAUCUGGGCCACAGAAAUCGAGGACCCACGUGGCUUUCACCUGGUCGUACUCCGGAGCCCAGUCGUCAUAGAAGCGGAGCUUGCAGGCCAGGGGUCGCCAAGAAGGUGAAGGCUCAGAACUCGGGGCGCAGAUCCCCCUACUCCGGGCAGACGAAGAGUCUGGUCCCGCCUCCAGCACCGCGAAGAUUGGGUUUCCGUGAGAGAAAACAGCCAAUCAAAGCAAGAGGAUGCCAGCUCGCCCCCUGCGAGGAGCCAAUGAGCGCAAGGCUCUAGUCCUCCUGCCUGGGAAGAGCUCAGACUCUCCCAGGGGGACUUUGUUUCCACAAACACGUAAAAAAAAAGUGUUUUCCGGUUA
Long non-coding RNA from Psammomys obesus (fat sand rat), 441 nucleotides. RefSeq lists it as uncharacterized. The record is from RefSeq and is a predicted model, not a curated record. NCBI's taxonomy places the organism in Eukaryota, Metazoa, Chordata, Mammalia, Rodentia, Muridae. The transcript is spliced from 2 exons.